UACGAGGGGGGCAAGCGUUGUUCGGAAUUAUUGGGCGUAAAGGAUGCGUAGGCGGACAUUUAAGUCAGAUGUGAAAUACCCGAGCUUAACUUGGGUGCUGCAUUUGAAACUGGGUGUCUAGAGUGCAGGAGAGGUAAGUGGAAUUCCUAGUGUAGCGGUGAAAUGCGUAGAGAUUAGGAAGAACACCAGUGGCGAAGGCGACUUACUGGACUGUAACUGACGCUGAGGCAUGAAAGCGUGGGGAGCAAACAGG
Molecule: ribosomal RNA, 253 nt
Filed under: uncultured bacterium
Lineage: Bacteria
Description: partial 16S ribosomal RNA
Rfam family: Bacterial small subunit ribosomal RNA
Source: RNAcentral